GGUCGCAUAGUUUAAUGAAAACAGCAGGCUGCAAUCCUGAAGACACAUGUAAUGUUGAGGCCU
This 63-nucleotide transfer RNA is filed under the name Harpiosquilla harpax. Its description in RNAcentral is "tRNA-Cys". It matches the Rfam family "tRNA". Rfam says of the family: Transfer RNA (tRNA) molecules are approximately 80 nucleotides in length. Their secondary structure includes four short double-helical elements and three loops (D, anti-codon, and T loops). Lineage: Eukaryota; Metazoa; Arthropoda; Malacostraca; Stomatopoda; Squillidae. The record is from RNAcentral.